Molecule: long non-coding RNA, 1496 nt
Filed under: Anser cygnoides (Swan goose)
Lineage: Eukaryota; Metazoa; Chordata; Aves; Anseriformes; Anatidae
Description: lncRNA (ENSACDG00005009946.1)
Source: RNAcentral
AACAAAAGCCGCUCGCGUGUGAACUUUGUGUUUCUCUGCAGGGAAGAGCCGGGAGCACAUGGAAGGAGAGAGAGAGGCGAAAAUCCCAAAUCGCUGCUGUCACUGGAUCAUCACCAUCAGCAGCAGCAGCAGCAGCAGCGGCAGCGGCAGCGGCAGGGGCAGGGGGCAGGUCUGCUGCGACUCGGCACUUUCUCGGGCUCCGGUGGCUCCCUUUCCUUCCUUUGCCCCCUUUUGUUUUGAAGAGAAGGAGGAGAAGGGGAGAGAAGAAAAUCAGGCACCAAAAGUCGUCUCGAUCGUCUCCGGUGAGAUGAUGGUUAAAAAGGAGGAAAAAAAAAAAAAAAGUCGAAGAAGCGGAAAACGUCCCGGAAUUUUGUGCGAGCCCCCUCCCUUUAUCUUUUUCUGUUGUUGUUGUUGUUAUCCCCAGUCUGCCGAUGUGAACAAGAGGAGAAGGGAGAGAAAUGUGAAGAUGAGAGGAGGUGGAACAAUGAAUUUAUAGCGGAAUGCCAUCCUGCAAUGGCAAUUUCAACAAUUCGUCACUGCAGGCUGCCUCUUAAAGGGAGAGCUUCAAAACCACCACUCCCACACUUCCUUCUCAUUUAAUCAGACAGAGGGAGAGAAACUUGAGGGGAGGGGGAAAGGCGCGGGGGGAGGAGAAGAGGAGGGAGAGGGAGCGAGGGAGAGGGCGGCAGGGGAGCGAGCGAGAGGGAGGAAGCCGGGGAGGGCAGGAGCGAGCGGCCGAAAAUGUUUGUGCACGGAAAACACCAGAUUUCCUUUGAAUCGCUUUAAAGCCGCAGCGGCGCCCGCCGGUUUGAUAUUUCACAACUGGCCGGGGGCGCUCGGGCCGUGCUUACCUCCCGGCGCUGCCGCUCGUCCGGAGCCUCGGGGGGGGCUGAGCCAGCCUCGCCCCCGGCUGCCGGGGGGGGGGGGCGGGGAGCGGCCGGGGNNNNNNNNNNNNNNNNNNNNNNNNNNNNNNNNNNNNNNNNNNNNNNGCGCCGUCCGGGGGUCCCCCGGGCUCCCACAGCCCCGGGGCUGCCCCCCCGGGCUCGUCCCCUGCCCCCGCACCUUGCCGGGGCCAGCGGCAGCGCCGAGCUUCGUCGUCCCCUUCCUUUGUCUCCGCGGCCGCGGCUCGCCCUGCGCCCAGGCUGUCAUUAAGUCCCGGCAAGCUGUCAUCUAGUUUGGGCGGACCGUGAUUUCCCCCGAGCCCCCGAGGAGGAGAGAGGGCGGGGAAGAGUUAGCGCUCGCUUUGACCUUACGGAUGACUUCAGAUGCUUAGAUCAUCCCCCGCGGGCUGACACACGCGUCCACUCGCGCCGUGCCCCCCUGCCCCCUUUCUCCCGGCUCCGCGCUCCGACAGGACAGCACAAAGGGCAGACGUCCGGGCUGACUUUUUCAUCUGCCCUGCCCACGCUGGCACUGCCCCUAGGCAGAGGAGACGGGCAGCGGCUCGCUCAGGACAGAGGAGGGGGUGCACGACCCCCGCCGAGGUGCACCCCCCA